GUCUUAUUGUGUUGAAUAUUAAGUCUAACCUGCCCAUUGAUAAUAAAUUUUGAAAGGCUGCAGUAUUUUGACUGUACAAAGGUAGCAUAAUCAUUAGUUUACUAAUUUUAAACUGGAAUGAAGGGUUGAAUGAAAUAAAAACUUUUUUAAUUUAAAAAUUUGAAUUUUACUUUUAAGUUAAAAGGCUUAAAUAAUUUUAAAAGACGAGAAGACCCUAUAGAGUUUUAUAGUUUAAGUAGGAUAUUAAUUAAUUUAUAUAAUAAUAAAUUAUGUUUAAUUUAAGAAAAUUAAAAAUAUUUUGUUGUUAUAAAUUAUUUAUUGAUUAAUUAAUUAGAUUAAGUUUUUCUUUUAGAAUUAUUUAGUUGGGGUGACUUUAAAAUUUAUAAAACUUUUAUAUUUAUAUAACAAUAAUUUUUGAAUAAUUGAUCCAUAAUUUAUGAUUAUUAGAUUAAAUUACCUUAGGGAUAACAGCGUAAUUUCUUUUAAAGUUCUUAUUUAAAGAGAAGAUUGCGACCUCGAUGUUGGAUUAAGAUUAAUUUUAGUUGCAGAAGUUUAAAUAUUAAGUCUGUUCGACUUUUAAAUUCUU
This 586-nucleotide ribosomal RNA is filed under the name Pnyxiopalpus sp. JSSCI29. Its description in RNAcentral is "partial 16S ribosomal RNA". The record is from RNAcentral. Lineage: Eukaryota; Metazoa; Arthropoda; Insecta; Diptera; Sciaridae.